Molecule: long non-coding RNA, 604 nt
Organism: Rosa rugosa (rugosa rose)
Lineage: Eukaryota; Viridiplantae; Streptophyta; Magnoliopsida; Rosales; Rosaceae
Exons: 4
Source: RefSeq, a predicted model, not a curated record
ACGUGGUAACCGUUCACUCCUCUUAUUCUUCUUCUUCUUCAUCUCAUCUCUCUCUCUCUCAUGUUGCAGCCAUCUCCAGUCCAUGGCAACAACAGCAGUACUUUUCCACUUGCUCUCUCUAUCAGAUUAGCAAUCCGCUGCUCAUUGUUAGGGCUUCAAGAGUAUCGGCCAUGAUCUUCUAUUACGGAUGGUCUCUAUAUGUGUUUGGCUUCAUCUCACUUAAAUGGCGAGACUGAAAUCUCAGAUCUGUAAGAAAGAAAGGACUUGUCGUAAUGACAUCACAAAUCAGGGGUCACUGGAUCUUACACAUCAUUAGAGAAGGUUUGCGAACGAGUUUAUCAGUCCUUAGUUGAAGUGAUCAAGUUGGAAGAGUUGCAACUUGCAAACAGAUUUUGCAGGAGGUGGAGUUGCUGUUGGAGUUUCAACUUGAAGUUGUAGUCAUAAGCCAUUGAAGUUAUGAUUAAUUUAGACUAGUAUAGAUGUACUGAUGUAUUCCAAUUAGUAUAGGAGGGUAAAUUCUUGUUAGUACAAGCUAUGUAUCUAUAUUUCAAUAGUAAGAGACUACUGUAUUAUUUUUAUUUAUCAAAAUUGAGGAUUUAGUAUA